GCCGGGGUGGUGAAAUUGGUAGACACGCUAGCUUCAGGAGCUAGUUCUCGCAAGGGAAUGGAGGUUCGAGUCCUCUCCCCGGCACAA
RNAcentral lists this transfer RNA (87 nucleotides) under Patescibacteria group bacterium. RNAcentral describes it as "tRNA-Leu". It matches the Rfam family "tRNA". From Rfam's summary of the family: Transfer RNA (tRNA) molecules are approximately 80 nucleotides in length. Their secondary structure includes four short double-helical elements and three loops (D, anti-codon, and T loops). The record is from RNAcentral.